This is a long non-coding RNA of Chinchilla lanigera (long-tailed chinchilla), 1642 nucleotides long. Ensembl annotates it as melanoma-associated antigen D4-like. The record is from Ensembl. Lineage: Eukaryota; Metazoa; Chordata; Mammalia; Rodentia; Chinchillidae.
GCUGGCUGUCUGAAGAGGAGAGGGUGAAGGAAAUAUGGCGGGAAGAACACCCCCCUCCAUCCUCGCCGCAGCCCACCCAGCCGCGGAAUCGCAUGCGCACUGGGGACCUGGAGGAAAGGGCUUUUGUUGGGAAAUCAGGCCCACCGGAGGGGUCCGCGCAUGCGCAGGCUCCCCAGCCGCAGGGGGUGCGCGGAGAAGAGGGGCGGGGUGGUCUGAGCUGCUGUGCUGGCAGCAGUAGGCGAGGGCGCGGCUGCGGGGUUCCUGGUGCUGAGCACGGACGCCAUUGGAGCCCCAGGGAAGGUAAGGAUCCAGCCCCAGACAGGACCGGACGAGGGCGAGUGCAAGCCCACACGCUGCGCCCUCUCCCUGCCCUCUGGAUCUGAACAAAGCCCUAGCCCUCAGAACCGGAACCUCAUGAGACCCAACGUCGCGAUAGGACCCCCAGCACCGAGACCGACAGACUCAAGCGCCCCUGUCCCAGCCGGGAGCUGCCCGGGAGCCUGCCAGCUCAACCGAUGUGACAGACCCUGAGCCGAAGAAACAGCCUGCCACCGGGUCCCGCCCCCUGCCCCUGAGGCAGAGCUCUCAGCUCCCUGGGAGCCCCAGCAUGGCUGAGGGAAGCUACAGUGUGCAAUCUGGAAACUCCAGUGUCGAAGACAUGGAUGAGGGGAGCCACCAAGUCAGGGUGGCAGAGAUGGUUGGAGGCAGCGACUAUGAAGAGUUUGGUGCCUUUGGUGGCUAUGGCACACUCACCAGCUUUGACAUCCAUCUGCUCAGAGCCUUUGACACCUUGGGUUCCGGCUUUCACAUCUUAGCGAAUGAGCCCUGGGAGCUGGAAAGUCCUGUGCUGGCUCAGACCCUGGUGGAGGCAUUGCAGCUGGAUCCAGAAACCCUUGCCAAUGAGACCGAGGCCCAUGCCGCCAGUGUCGCCCGCUCUGCCGCCUCCAACCGAGCCGCUCGGGCCGCUGCCGCUGCCGCCCGCAGGUCCAUCCGUCAGGUGGUGGCUCACCACAUGGUGCCCACACAGCCGGCCACAGGAGACGGUGCCCAGCCUGGGACAUACUCUGAGGCUCAGGGGCCCGCCCCGGAGGCAAUCCUGGUCUCACCUCCGACAUCCCAGAUGUCAGUCGUCAGUGAGAUGGCCGCCCCUGGGGCUCCAGCAGUCUCCACGCAUUCCCAGACGGCCUCCCUGGACCAGGCGGCUGCUGCCAGGGGUCCAAGUACUGCCUGUGCUGGGGGUCCUAGUCCCGCCUGUGCCGAGGGUCCCAGUACUGCCUGUGCCGAGGGUCCUAGUACUGCCUGUGCUUUCUCUCAGGCUCCAAGUGCCAGUGAAACGGAUGCCACCUGGCCCCAGGCAGGCUUCCUGGGCCAGAAGGAUGUCUUUGAUUUCACUCAGCCAGCAGGUGUCAGUGGCAUGGCCUUCACCCGCCCCAAGAGACCUGCUCCAGCCCAAGAGGCCGCCACGGAGGACCCUAGUGCCGCCUCUGGUGGGCCUCAGGCAGCACCUGCCCGGGAAGCGGCAGCCACCGGACCCAAGAACACCAAAUCUGGGAAGGCUGUGGCCAAGACUCGGUGGGUGGAGCCUCAGAAGGUUGUGACCUCAGCGGCUGCCAACAGCAAGACGGCCACAAGCAUCCCUGAG